CUUUUUUUUGCUGAGGAUGGUGAGCAAUACGUGCUGUGUAUCAGUAGUCCUAAAUAAAAGCAAAUCCAUUAAAAAAUCCAGUAACCAAUUCAGUUCUCCAAAUACAACCAAUGGAAGUAAAUAAGGCAAACCAUGUCACCCUUCAGCCCCUGCACCAGGAGGGUUCCCAGGUGAAGGCAGGCAAUGGUUGCGUCUUGAGCAAAUCCCUGAGCAUGCCAACGACUGGUCCAGUCUCACAGCAAAGCUACUGGGCACAGGCCACUAGCCUGGAGGUCAGUGUGGCAUCUCUGUGAUAGGUAGCUGGGUUGCUGGGAUAGGCAGAGACAUCCCAACAUCCUUCUGUGCUCAGCAGCAGUCUCAAAACUUUCCAGAGGAGUGGGACCUGCCAAGCAUGACUGCUCUCAUCACUGCUCAGCACCAUCUCUGCCAGCAGAAGAAAUAAUGACAUCUGUCUCAAAACUUGUCUUUUUAACACCAGUAACGUAAUUUCUUCCUCUUCCAAAAUUGAUUCAUUUGAUGCCCUAAGUUUCAGCUGGUUUUCCAUGAGCAUAUUAUUUUUUUUGAGAAUGAACUCACGUUUUCCAGUUGAGUUCUUGAUUAGUCUAAUGAAUUUUCCUCCUUUCCCAUCAUCAAACACACUUUCCCAGAUGAUGGGGAGGUUCAUCUCUAAAGGAAAACGACUCUUCUCUGACACAGAAAAAGUUUUAAACAAAGAUUUUAAAAGUGUCUGAUGAUUAUGGGGUUCUCAAUAUUUCAAGUACUAAAUUUUAAGCGUUGUAAAGUGACAGCAAAUGUUGGAUAUCUGCCCUCUGAUCCCUGAUGCUAUUUAUUUGAGGUGUCCUAAAUUGGCAUAGAAGACCAUCGUUCAUUUUUGACCCAAAGCAUCUCAGACAUUCAAAAAUCUCAUUCCCAAACUUCUAAUUCUUUCCCAGUUCAGAAGGCUGUCUGAAAGUUGCCAAGUAUGAAGUUUAAAACAAACAGAUAAGUAAAUAUUUGGACCUUUUUAAUUGCUUCAUGUUUCCUGAACUUUCAGGAUUCAUGUUUUCAAUCUAAUUAUUUCUGGCUUUUGGAGAGAGAAGGUUUCCCUCUCCCCUUUGUUUCUAACUAAGUAACUGUCUAGGCUAACCUGCCAAAAAAAAAAUAUAUAUAUAGAAAAAAUUCACAAUUGAAGGAACUGUGCUAAAUGGGAUAAACCUGCCUACAGCCCAGGCCUGAGCACAAAGCCUAGAGCCUUUACUCACCUUGACUCUCUACAUCCAAGCUAACAUCAGCUAGUUACUGUACAGGCAUGGUGGCAGAUCUUCUGUACCUGCCUAACACAAAUCUCCUGCUUCUUGUCUUUCUGCACAGCAUCUCCUGUGGUCACAGCUGAGACCUUGUGGUGCCCAGCUGAUCAUUUUUGCCCAGACAUUCUGCAGGACUCCAUCACCCAUCUCGGCAUUCCACAAUAAAGGGACUGGAGGAGGUAACUUCAAUGUUUCACGUGGGAGGCAUUGCUCUGGUGUUUUGUAGCAAUCCUGUAGACCCAAGCCCAGAAGCCCUGCAACACAAGUUCUGCUUGCUGCCAACAGGGAUAAUGCAAGGAACUUCCAUGAAACCUCUCCAGAUUCUGAUUUAUCUACUGAGUGGGGGAUGGAUCAUUAGUGGAGAACAAGUGCCACCAGUGGUGACCAAAAGCUAUGGUCACCUAACCACCCCCUGAAGUGCCUGAUGAAGUACCCAGGAGUGCACAUCUGUUGUGUGAAAACCCUGAUGGUGGGCAGCACUUGGAGCUGUCAUCAGCAACUGGUCCUUUAGUACUUCUUCAAGCAAGUGCUGCAAACACAGGGAGGACAGGACACCCUUUCCCUGCCCCUGCUGUAAAAGUGAUGCACAUAAAUGGGUGAGCUCGAUUGUCCCAUAUUUCAGGCCAACAUCUUUCACAAGCAUUUCAGGAACAGCUUCAAAGGCAUGCAGCUCGAACUAAUGAGAAGUGUACAGGAGGUCAGAAUUACUGUCUAGUCUUGGAAAAAUCAGAAUAUAUAUUCUUUUUUCUUUUUCUGUUUUUAUCAGGCAUUUUUCUUUAAAAUAGAUAAGCAACUUCUUUUAUAAGAAACCUGGAAAUGAUUGCUUAAAAUUAGUAAGUUACAAUUCCAAUGAAUGGCCUAUCUGGAGCAGCUGGGUUUAAACACUCAAGGGAGAAGCUGGGGAAAGGAAAGGGAAAAAAUGGGAGUACAUGAUUGUUUCUGUGCUGAUUCACAGAUCUGUUUGCCAUCAAAUCUGUCAUUGUGGUGGUGACAUGGACUUGUUACAGCUAAAAGCAAAGAAUGCAGAAAAUAAGAGCAUUUGACCCUAAAGCCCAAAAUACUCAAAGGUUUAGUGUUUUGAGUAAGGCAAUGAUCCAAAGCCUAUAAAAGCAGAAGAAAAAUAGCCUUUAGCUUCAGUGGGCAUUGCAUCAGGCCUUCAGAUGACUGGCAAUCAGCAGACUUCAUGCUGUGUAAUUCUUUAUGAAAGAAGCGUUAGUUCUCCAACACACAGUCAGCUGAGGAGGAAUAAGACAUGCUGUGUCUUUGCAACUUACCCUUCUGGUCAGCAGACAUCCCCAUCACUGAGGGUGAUGUAGAUAUUCUUGCACAACUGGUGAAAAGGCAUCCAGCUGUGCUUUGCAACUGCUGCUUCCCGCUAAGCCAUCACUAGAGAGAGAAUUAGCAGAGACUCCAUUGUCACAUACCCUAGAUCUGAACCCUGGGUUAUAUUUAAACGAGCAUAGGAAAGAGUCUGAAGACUCUAUGACCCUGGUGAAUUGGGGGAUUGCUUUCUCUAAACUGGAAGGCAAAUGUCGGAAGAUCAGAUUACAAGUGACUACACGAAUGUUUUCAUGGUGGGUCAGCUGGAGUUCAGGCUCUGUAAAUUCCAAGGAGGUGGUUCCAGAGCAGUUUAAGCACUUCAGCAAUUCCUAGCACCGGUGGUCUCAGCUUGGGAAGGAUUUCAUAACAUGUCUGAAAGCCAAAGGCUUCUUUGCUAAUUUAAUAAAGAGUGAACCAGUGGGUAAGUCCCUAGAAAAUAGACUAAAUCAGCCUAAUUUGUUAUAUAAUCCCUUUUUAAUGUGGAGAAUUAAGGUGACGGCAAGAUGACUACGUGUUUAAUUCUCCAAAUAAUUACUGGUGAGUAUUGACAUUAAAGAUGGGAGAGAGUGAGUGAAUUUCUGUUUGUAGUUUUCAGCACGUGCCAAACUCUUACUUCAUACCAGUGAGAAAAGGCUGGAAGUUGUGUGUUCCAUAUGCAUGAAGUAACAGUUGGCACAAAUCACCAAGGGGAGAAAAUUAAAAGCCACUAAAGCCCAGCAACCCAAACUGUCACUUGCUGACAAUUUUUUGACUCUCUCUAUGAAAAAAAAAAACAAACCAAAAAACCAAUACAUGAAGGCCUCAUGCAGGGUAUUCCACCUGAGUAAACCCUAGUGUCUGGUCCUCCUCAAGGCAAAUAAUGUGCUGAGAAGGCAGCAAUAGUCUCAGUUUUCCAACCUCCUCCUCUAGUCCCUUGGGAAGUGCAGUCACAGACAGCCCCAGAGUGGGGUGAGAGUGGAGCAGCGGAGGAUGACACUGCUUGGCUCAAGUUGGUUCUUUCUUCUCCUGACACUCUUGGCCAUGAAAAACCUGUUCUUCCCCACUGCUAGGAAUGGAGGUGCUUCGUGGCUAACAGUGUCUGUCCUGCUUGGUGCAACUCGCCGUAUGGAUCAGGAUAAUGGAGUUUACAUCCUUGCCUUGCCAGCACUGCUGGAUUCACCUCAAAACAGCAGGAGAUAGCUGUAUCUGCACAACCUGCCUCUAACUCAUGUGUCCUCACACAGGCCUGGGAUGACUUUGGCAUUUGGGCCAUGGCUGCCAGGGCCCUGGAGGUACCAAGGGGCCCUACUGUUGUGUCCAGUCCCUGCUCAACCUUCCCAAGGACCAGUAGCCCAUGUCAGCCCCCUGAUCUCAUCAGCCUCUGCCCCAGUGAUGUCACAGCAGGGCCAGGCUCCAUCUGCCCACAGAUCUGCCCUGGCCAUGGGCCCCACAGAGCCAGACCCACAUCCCAUCCUGUCAGCACAUCCCAUGUGGUGUCAUGGCCAUGGGUUACACGAGUUACCUCAUUUUUUGUUCAAAAUUAUGUCCUGUGCUUGAAGGAUUUGAUACAAUCUAAGUCUUCCCUGUCACUUCUACCAUGAUGAUUUUCUGUGUGGUUCACUGUAGUCUUCCUACAACUGACAGCUUAUUAUCUCACCUUAUGAAAAUCAUGUAUGACUUCUGGGAGUCAUCUAUCAAAAGGAGAGAACACACAACAUACUGAGAAGCUGGUACCUUCUCUCUAAUUUUCCAGGUUGAUGGCUGUUCAAUGAACCUAUUAACUGCCUGAAGUGACUUGCAUCUUUACAGCUGUCCAGUUGUCAUAUUUCUGACCAGCAAUCCCUGUCAUAUAGGAUCGGGACCAGAUUUUCAGAUCUCCAUGCUGGUCUGAGCACCAGGCUGAUGUUGCUAGAUCCUGGAGAUAUUUUUAUUAAGUGAGCUUUACAAGGACCUAGAAAGAACCUCUACCUGUCACAAGAAUCUGAGAAGGCUUAUGUAAGGUCCCUAGAGCAGUUUUUCCUUAACAUUAUCCAACCCGGAAAAUUUCCGGAUUUCAGUAAAAACUGUGUAUGCUAUGUUUUCCCAGGCUGGGCAUCAAUGUGAAUUGUAGGAGCUAUUGGCUAGGAAGUAUCUAGAAGCAGACUUUACAACCACACAGAAUGCUUUCAUUUAACUACCCGUGCUACUGGACCUUCACAUGAUUUAGAGCUCUGACAAACCUGAAUUCCCAUUAAACUAGAUAGCUUGGAUCCAAUUAGUGGCAUUAUCUCAGGAAGACAGUGUUCUGGAUGGCCUGCCAACAAUAGCUGGCCAUUGACUGCUCUGCUUUGCUGGGGGGUUUGCAGGUGUGCUGUGUUCUGUUAUGGCAGUGCCAUGGUGUUACCAGUACCUUGGAUGGCUCAUUUAAUGCUAGUUCAAUAUGUCAGUGCCAUGCUGCAGUUUUAAUAAGGUAGAGGCACAUCUGCAGUCGGAAAUUUUCAUCAUUCUGCACUACCAACAUGGUGUAAUACACUGUGCAGAUCCUUAAGCCAAGACUUUAGGAAAUUAAUCUGGAUCCUAUAAACAUUUUAAUGGGAGGAAGCAAAAAUACUUGCAUGACCUGACAGAUCUUUUUGGCUUAUAGGUAGGACUUCAUAUGGAGGAAGUGGUCUUUUCCCUUGGUGACAAUAAAAGUACUUUAUAUUUUUGCUGCAAUGGAAAGAUCAUGCAUUAUAUAGAUCCCACUGAACAGUAUUCAGUAAAAUGCAGAUGUCCUUAAGUUUUCAUUAUAAACUUUAUUUUAUUCCUGUUCCUCACAUUGCCAAAAUCAGCCCUAUUCACCUACAGCUUCACAGGCAUAAUCUUAUUCUGGGACCAAUUUUUUGGAAGAGCUGAAGGAAAUUGGUCAAGGUGUUUAAGAGAGAUGAUGGCUAAAAAAAAUGAGAUCAUCUGCUUGGAGAGUUUCCUAAAGACUUUUUAGUUUGUCAUAUCCUCAAAAUUCAUUUUCCUAGAGAUUGAAAAAAUAUUUCAGAUCUGUUGGUCUUGGCUAGAAAUGGUGCCUUUGAACAGUUUUAGGCUGUCUGGUGACAGAAUUAUUUGGUUAUUGAAAGUGGUUCCUGCCUCAGUGUGUACGUAUAUGUGUUAUGUGCUCUUUGGAGAUCUUAACUCAACUAGUCAGUGCCAAUGUGCUCAUAAAUUUAUGGUGUCAUAUGUCAGGUUUCUAAACAACUCUGCAUGCAUUCUAAACAGACAUGUUUCUUCUCUGAGACUCAUCCUAUCUGCAGGUACUGCUGUCUAAAAUCCUCACUUAUGUGUUUCCUGACUCGCACUGCAAUCCAUGCUGAAGCUGACAGCGUGGCUUUACAGUCAUGCUGCACAGUCCCUGGAGACCUCUCCCAAAGGUUACAGCAUUCAAAGCUCAUUCUACUCAUCUCAGUGUUUUUUCGUGUCAAAAAAUUCACACCUGCCCUGAUUUGUGCCAAUAUGUCAGUCUGUGAUGGCUGUGAGCCACACAUGAUGAGACUUAAGUCAAUAUUAUUUUUCAGCAUAUGUGUUUUGUGGUUUAUUUCUGGUUUUAUGACAAAGUAAGUUCUGAGGCACAGUGUUCUAUUUUUAAAGAGGAUUUAUUUCAAAAUAUGUGCUUAGAACUUUCUCAUAAUUGCAUCAUUUUAAAGAUGGUUCUUGAAGUGUGACCAAAACCAGAAGCAAACAUUCAUUAGACAAUUUUCAGCAUCUCUCACUCUAAAAAGAACAUGAAAUCUGGAAACAGUAUAGUUGUGCUAUGCCACUGCACUAAUGUGCUCUCCUUGGAUCACUCACCCACUGCAUCACCCCCUUAGUUUGUACUGAAGGUUAUAGCAGAGCAACGUAAACAGUCAGGUCUGCCCAGCACGUACCAUUGACAAUGGGACAUGGGACAUGUUCCGUGAGACCUUGGCUUUAGUUAAUAAUGUUCCCAGACUUUAACAUUUAAGCCUUGAUCUUUCUGAUCUCCUGACUUAGUUGGUUUUGUUGUCGCUGCAGUAAAGCCCCUGACCUACAAAUUGCUGGAACCGUGUGUGUAAUUAGAAGUAUGAUACCAUUCUUUCUCUAUCUAUUAUUCCAUCAGCAUCUGUUAUUGACCACUGUUUGGAGCAAGCUCUUGGGCUAGAUGGACCUUGGUUUUUACUCAGUAUUAAUGUUCUUACACUAUAUUCUCAGUUAAAUAGUUGACUACUUGCUGAAAACAGGGCUAGGAUUUUUCUUUGUCAUUUUAAAGAUUUAACAGUCGUUUUAGUGUUGGUUUUUUGGUGUGUUUUUUGGGGGGUUUGUUGUGUUUGUGGGUUUUUUUAAAGAAGAUUUGGUAUUUCUGUGCUCUGGAUCUAGGACCUGAAUCACAAGUGAAGCAUUAUGUUGAAGUCAGGGAUAGGCUUUUCUCUCCCAUUCUGGUUCAAAGUGUUCACUUCUGGCUCUUGGCAACCCCAUUUUGAAUGUGCUCAGUAGGAACUAUGAGGGGUUUUGCACUUAGGUGCUGUUGACAGUGAUCAUACCCUGACAGGACUGAGCAGGACGCUGCUGGUUGCAGACUGUUCUGCCAUGCAGCACAGGAAUUGACUGCAGCAGGACUCUCCCAGUGGCCAUUGUCUCCUGGGAAUGGAGAACUGCCUGAUGGGAAGGCAGAAAUGACAAACAAGUUUUCAGGGGCUUUCAAGAGGGAAAAUGGGCUAUGAUGGUAAGAAGGUGAGAUGUAAAACUGACAUCUAGAUGAAUUAGGGGGGAGCUGGAAUAUGGCUGGCUUCAUAAUAGUCUACAGAUAUGAUAAAGAAAAGAGAAAGGCCUCACAACAGGGAGAGAGUAGGAUGGACUGUGUGAUUCUGGAGAAGACUUCUCUGAAACCUGGAGCUGAGCACAGGAUUCCUGAGUUAUUGACAGUUAUUGACUCACUGAGAGACAGGCUUUCACUAGAGGGAAUCAUUAACUCCACCCUUCUAUCCCGAGACCAAACUGCAAUCAUGUCAUCCCAAGCUAUCAUUGAUAUUGAAGUUUUGUCCAAUGACUAAUCUAAAUCUCCCAAGCUGUUUGGUUUAUGCUUCUUCAUGUUUUAUUCUUCCUGAUCUUUCCACCAAGGACAUAUUAGUUCCUUUGCAACAGCUUUUUAGUUGAAGAUUAUUAACCUUCCUUCUUCUUGGUUGUUACUUCUUCAGAAAAAAAACUCACAUUUCUCACAGUCUUCCCUCAUGUUUUCUGGACCUCUGUCAAUUUUUGCCCAUCUUCUUUGCCAAUUCUUUCAUCUCUUUCUUGAAGUACAGUGCACUAAACAGGUCGCAGUCUUCCAGGUGAAUCUUUGACUGUGGGGAUCGGCCCACAUAGACUCUUUCAGUAGUCUUUAAGACCCUUUAGACAUCCCAAUGGCUUUGCCAUUCGUGCUUGUUCCACCAUAGUACCCUAUCUUUUCUCUUGUGAAGUGGUACUUAAACAGUUUUGCAAGUACAGAUGAGUAUUUCUGUGUAAGCACUUUGUACUACUGUAUUCCAUCCAUUUUGAUGACUUCUCUAAAUAUAUCAAGAUCAUCUUAAAUUCUAAUUUUUUUAUCAUCUGUAACAUCUGCAGUCCUUCCUUGCUCCGUCUGCAAGACUCAUACUUCAUAUUCCAUCUUCUAUGCCUUCAUUGAAAACAUUAAAUGAAACUUGAUCUGAGACCAAGGCCCACAGAAUUCCUUGCAAAACACACAUAUUUUGAUAGGUUUUGAUGGAAUUACCCUGUGUAUACAAUUAUCCAACUAGACUUGACCUCCUGCCCCUUCCCACAGCAGUUUCAUUUAGAUCACAGUUCACUAGCCUGCUCAUAAGGAUAUUAUAGGAAGUACUGCUAAAGGCCUUGCAAAAUUAAAUAAAAAAAAAUAAAUUCAAGAUAUGUGACAUCUGCAGCUAGUACUUUAAUGUCCAUUUAAGACUCUUAGAGUGAAGUUGCUGAGGCUCAGACUCAGGAGGACAUCUAACAUAACUGGUUAUUCUCUAAGCAAGUUUUGCAUAUUUUAGGCUGAAAUUUUACCAUCUAAAUAAUUGCACUGUCUGGUUGCUGUUGACCUUUUUAGUAAAGAUUGAUGAAAAAGGGAGAAAAAAAGGGCAUUAAACUCUACCACUUCCUUAACAUUCUCUGCUGAUAGCACACCCUCAUCAUUGAGUACUGGUCCAAACUUCCCUUUGUUUUUCUCUCAACACCUUACCUGUUAAAUUUCUUUUAUUUUUGGUAAGUUUUGCUAGUGGCAUCUAGUGCAUUUUGUCUUUACUAACUCUAUAAACUCCCCCCACACACACCCUCCCAUGAAUGGAGUAUUGUGCUGGGUUCUCAACCAGCUGUCCUAGUUUCUGCUUUACAGAUAUCUCUCUCUCUUCUGCUGGAGGUCAAUUAAAAGGUUGUGAAUUAGCUGACUUCUGCAGAAUUUCCUUACAUUCCCUUGAAAUGCCAUAGGUUGCACUUGGUUUCUUAUUAACAUUUCUUGAAUGAACUGACAACUCUUCAUAAUCUGUUUUUCCCUUAGAUUUGUCUCUUAUGAGAUCUUCCCUACCAAUUCUCUGAGUUUAUUGACAUCUGCCUUCUUGAAAUCUAGUGCUGUCAGUCACUCAGAUCAAGUGGCAGAAGAUGACACUAUGUUUGCUGCAGUGCUGAUUCCUUGUAAAAUGUCAUAUCUGGCAGCAGACUUUGAGUCAUAUGUUACACUGCCCUCUACCUACAUGCAAAACUGCUGUUCAGCAGAGGGAGGUUGUGACAAUUACAGUUGUACUGGCACUUAAGAUUUAGGCUGCUGUUCAGAAUUUAUCAUAGAAAAAAUGUAACUUAGAUAAACUUUCUGUAAGGCAUUAAUAACUGCCCUUAAAAUGAAUCUCCAUUAAUGUGGAUAGAGGAACUGCACUAAUGAAGUGUUUAGAACACAAAUUCCUUGUGAUAAUAAAUAAUCCAGACUAAGGUAUGCAAUGAUCCUUGCCCUUCUUUGUUUACUAAAAACUUCAAAUGCUAUGCAGCUAUUUCAUGGUGCAAUGGACAGACAGUGAGACUGUAAUGGGGGAGAGGAAGUAACAAGCAAUAAACAUCACCUUAAGCAAAAAAGCUGAUCAGACCAUACUGGACCUGUGCCUUGUAAGAACAGUGACAGAAGCUCUUACUGACAUCUAAUACAAAAGCAGUAAGACUUCAGGUCCUCCCGAAACCCUCCAAAACUCUUUAAUAUUGGUUGAGACCACCGUAGAUACCUCAUGGCCCCUCUCAUAGGUCAACUAGAAAUGGUCAAGAAGUCAGGCCAAGCCUAGUACUUAUAUUGGAAAGCUUCCUAUUACACAAUUAUUUUAAUGACAAUAUCACUAUGGGGGUUUCUUUACUAUCACUUCAAGUUGAUUUGGAUUCCUUUAACAAUGAAAAUUGAUUACCAGUAACGAGUCCUAGCUGUAGUCAAUUUUAUGACAGAUAUAAACUAAUAAAAAUGUGGGCAUCAUACUAUCAAUAUGGUGUUGGAAGACAGAGGAGCAAGCCUUUCCUGUAAUCAGAAUACUGGUGAUGGUUUAGAGAAAUCCAGUAGUUGUUGAACCACUCUAUUACAUGCCACAGGGACCUGAUCUGUGGUGUCCAUACGCUAUCUAGUGGCUCUGUCGAUUAUGACAUUAUCCCUGAAUUACUCUUCUUCUGCUUGUGAAUUGUAGUAUUAAAAAUUAUGUUAGAUGAAAUCAGGGUUCCUAAGUCUGUAACCAUUCCCUAAUGAAUCUAAGACAUUUUGAGGUCAUAAGUGAAUAAUGAAAAAACCCAAAAAGGUAGUAAAGCCUGUGUGAAUAUGCAGACAAAACUCUUGAUGGGGAGUUCUAGGCAGUCAUUCCUGUCACUAACAGCAUUCUGAUGGGCGCUGGUCAAGCAGUAAAGAUCUUUCUCUGUCGUAUACAGACUAUGUUCUAGAUUGACUACUAAAAAAACCCACUCAGUUUAGGAGUGCUUCAAAUGGUUAAGUAUUUUCUUUAGUUGCUAAUUAUACAGUAUUUUGUAAACUGAAAGCAGAUAAUCUAAAUACUUUAAACUGUGCACAUGGUAUACAGUAGUGCAAGGCCAGAUGUGUUCUCCUCUAAUGGGGAAAGCUAAUCUCCAUCCCUUGAGAUCACAGACUGGGAAGAUGUGAAGACCAUGCACAACAGCAGUCUUCUGUUUCUGCUGGGGUGUGACUGACCUUCAGUAAAAAAUACACCCCUUCUGCUUUGUUAUUUUUCUGUAAAAUCGAGGUAGUACUGCUAUAUGGAAGCCAUAACAGCUUUAUAGUUAAUGAGUACUUCUGUUGUAAAGGCUGUAUUUUCUAUUAUUUAUAUAUGUAUAUAGGAAAUAGUGUAUAUAUAUAUGACGUGUAUUAGCACAUUUAGGGGUUUCACGAGUUACAAUUAGCACAAAACUUAUAUUUUAGAAAAAAAGUCUGAUUCAUCAUCACCCUCAGCAAUUUUGUGCUUUUCUACUUAAUAACUGAGAAAGCUCCCUAGUCAACUGUUACACCAUUUAAGUGCACUUAAUUACAUAUGUGUAUUUGUUUUAGGAGGCUGAGUAAAGACAUGAUGAUGCAAGUUUCAUGCUGGGUAACAUUUCUUGAACUGUUCUUUCUAGAAAAGCAGAAAUUUUUUUUUGAUCUUUUUUCACACAUCAUGAAAUCAAAGGUACUAAUUUUGUUCUCAUGUUUCAUUAAACUGUUUUUCUAUUCAUACAUCAUUCUGAACCCUUAAAACCAAGUUUCAAAUAGUUGGCAGAAAAUGUUCACAUUACCUGCGUUUAUCACAAUAAUUUCAAAUAUAAAGCUUUUAUGGUGCAUGUCUUUUUCCACAUACAACAGCAGUUGAUAAAUAUGUAUAUAAAUACAACAUAUGUGUAUAUAAAUGUGCCUUACAGGCUUCAAAGAAAAGCACGAUUUUUAAGAGCCGUGCAUAAAAGUCAGUUCCUUGAUCAUCCCAAAGUAACCCAAAAUUCAGAGCCUUAUGCAUUGUGCUAAUUUUGACUGGGAUAGAGUUCAUUUUCUUCACAGGAGCUAGUAUGGGUCCGUGGCUUGGAUUUGUGCUGAAGACAGUGUUGAUAACACAGGGAUUUUUCAUUACUGCUGAGCAAAGUUUGUGCAGAGUCAAGGUCUUUUCUGCCUUCCACCCCACUAGGGAGGAGGCUGCGGGUUCACAGAAAGCUGGGACAGCACACAACCAGGACAGCUGACUCCAACUGACCAAAGGAAUAAUCUGUAUAUGCUCAGCAUAUAAAGCUGAGGGGGAACAAGGAAGAGGGGGGGGAGUGAUGGCAUUUGUCUUCCCAAGUAACCAUGAUGGAGCCCUGCUCUCCAGACAUCCACUGCCCAUGGAAAGUUGUGAAGGACUUAUUCCUUAUUUUGAUUUGCCUGCAUGCAUGGAUUUUGCUUUAUCUAUGAAACUGUCUUUAUCUCAACCCAUGGGUUUUCUCACUUUUACCCUUCUGAUUCUCUCCCCCCCCAACCAGGGAAGAGUGAGCAAGGGGCUGUGCAUUCCCUAGAUGCCAGCUGGGGUUAAACUGCAGUAACAUAAAGGAAUUGGCAGGUCUACAGGCAACCUGCUUUAAGUGCUCAGAGCUGAAGAGCUUAACCUCUUCUGCCCUCCUACUCACUAGCAUGUACUACACUUUUUUCUGAUUGAACAUUCAGUCCAGAUUAAUCACUCUCAGAAGAGAUAUUUAAAAAAACCCAGCUGUAACAGAAGGAAUUUUCUGUUAAGGUGACUGUUAGUAACAGAGAUGGGCUUAGAAACACAUCAGCAAAUUAGGAUACACAAGGCUAGAAGUCCUAGUGAGAAAUGUACCUAUCUCCAGUGUGCACAACCCCAACUCAAUUUUACUGCUUGUACAACCAGCACAACCUUGGCCACAAAGAUUUCAAAACAAAUAAUUACUACAAGAAAAAAAAAAAUCUGACACACAGGAUUCAUUGCAUAAACAUUUAAACAGAGGAAAUAAUUUCUUUUACAAACAUGUUUCUCUUGUAUAAGAAUAAUUUUGUAUAGAAAAUAGCUCUUUAUACAUUUUACAGAAAUAGGCUAACAUUUAGAUUCUUUAUUAAUGAAUAAUGAUUGAAUGCAAUUUAAGAUUUCAGUUAUGUUUCAGAGUCACCAAACAUCAAUAACACAGCAAUACAUCACUGCUCUAAUAUCCCUAAACUGCUUGACUUACCAAAUAGAGUCAAGGCAGUAAAAACGUUCCUAGAGCCAUGAUAAUUUGCAAACACUCAAGUAUCUUGAAACUGUUAAGUUAUGAAAUACCUGCUGAAAGUAAUACCAUAAUUUAAAUGCCAAGGAAUAUGGACUUAAACCUUAACAAGGCAGCGUUACUUGCUUACUUAGAUUAUUCUGCUGGCUAAUACUGUAAAACCCAAAUUGAACAAAAGCUUUAGUAUUCAACUGGUUUACUGUUAAUGUGACCUUCAAAACACCCCUGAAGGGUGGGAUACAACAUAUAAAUAUAAUAAAAAUACUUUCAUUUUCUUAAGAAAACAUGGAAGGUUGAUGAAAAAAAAAAUCAGUAAAUUAAGAUACAAAAAGUAAAUCUGUGGAGGACAAGACAUUGAAAAACACGUGUAUAUAUAUUUAUAUGUAAGGGUAUGCUAGGAAGUACAUAUAUUUAAAAAUACAUAAUUUCUUCAAAGAUUGUGUUUAAAUUCAUAUGGUAUCAUUUGGAACUCAAACGUAACACAGACUCAAAUGCUUUUCCCCUACAACUGCUGUUUCAAGCACCUGUACUUAUCUGCAAAUUUCCUUGUAAAUUAGAAGGAAGGUAAGAACAUUUAUCCUUGGAAUACAACUAUAUGCAGUACUCAUUUCUUGCUCUCUGGAUAUUUUAUAAUUUUAAAUUGAAGAUGAUGUAAGCAAAUAAGUACUAUAUAAC
Pseudopipra pipra is the source of this 13451-nucleotide long non-coding RNA. RefSeq lists it as uncharacterized. The transcript has 6 exons. NCBI's taxonomy places the organism in Eukaryota, Metazoa, Chordata, Aves, Passeriformes, Pipridae. The record is from RefSeq and is a predicted model, not a curated record.